RNAcentral lists this ribosomal RNA (250 nucleotides) under Pacispora scintillans. The record is from RNAcentral. Lineage: Eukaryota; Fungi; Glomeromycota; Glomeromycetes; Diversisporales; Pacisporaceae.
CAGUCGCGUUCUCUGGGAUUCAGCCUUGUUUCUUGCUUGGUGCAUUUCCUAGUCUACGGGCCAGCAUGAAUCUUGAGAGGUGGAAAAGGGUUUGGGGAAUGUGGCACCUCCGGGUGUGUUAUAGCCCCUUGCUGUAUACACUGGUUGGGAUUGAGGUUUCAGUGCACGCUUCGGUUGUGCUUUGUUGCUGGCGUAACGGCUUUAAGCGACCCGUUUGAAACCACGGACCAAGGAGUCUAACAUAUAUGCG